AGAUCCUCUUUUCUUUGUGAAUUUCACUUUAACCCUCAUUGAUUGCAUUUAAUUUCUGAUUUCUGUAAUUUUGCUGCCUUGAGCUCUUUCGCCUGUUCCCAUGUUUCUCCCUAGGCCCACUAUUCCUUUUCCCCAUAUCCCUUGUCCUCAUUCUUAUGUAUCUUCCUCUGUCCUCUCUUCCCCUGUCACCACUUUGGCUUUGAUAUCUCCACAUCAGUAGCUGUUUGGGGCAGUGGAAGACCCAAACCUCAAUGGAUAUGCUUUGAUGACAUUCCCUCCAUCCCUCAGAGUUUUUACUUCUUCCUCUGUUGUCUUCCAUGGCCCUCAAGGAUUACCUUUUUGUAAGGUAAUCCUCUUGAAACACAGCCUGUCUUCUUUCUUAUAGUCUCAGAGCAUUAAAAUUGUGAAGACGCUGAUGCUUUCUUAAGAAAAAUCAGGAUGUAUCAUACCACCCAGGAUAACCUGUGAUGCGCUAGUAUGAAUGGGAUCUAAAGUAAAGGAGGUGCAAAAUCUCUUAAAAUAGCAUUUGCUGAUAAUAGAUCAUUACUACAGACCAAAUAAAUAGUUUAAAGCCAU
Long non-coding RNA from Pezoporus flaviventris, 576 nucleotides. RefSeq lists it as uncharacterized. The transcript has 2 exons. The record is from RefSeq and is a predicted model, not a curated record. NCBI's taxonomy places the organism in Eukaryota, Metazoa, Chordata, Aves, Psittaciformes, Psittacidae.